Molecule: microRNA precursor, 69 nt
Organism: Crocodylus porosus (Australian saltwater crocodile)
Lineage: Eukaryota; Metazoa; Chordata; Crocodylia; Crocodylidae
Gene: MIR103A1
Product: microRNA 103a-1
Source: Ensembl
CUUUGGCUUCUUUACAGUGCUGCCUUGUUGCAUAUGGAUCAAGCAGCAUUGUACAGGGCUAUGAAGACA